GAUGAACGCUGGCGGUGUGCCUAAUACAUGCAAGUCGAGCGAACAGACGAGGAGCUUACUCCUCUGUCGUUAGCGGCGGACGGGUGAGUAACACAUGGAUAACCUACCUCUAAGACUGGGAUAACUUCGUGAAACCGGAUCUAAUACCGCAUAACAUGUUGAACCGCAUGGUUCAACAGUGAUUGACGGUCUUGCUGUCACUAAUAGAUGGAUUCGCGUCGCAUUAGCUAGUUGGUAAGGUAACGGCUUACCAAGGCAACGAUGCGUAGCCGACCUGAGAGGGUGAUCGGCGACAUGGGAACGGAGACACGGUCCAGAUACAUAGGGUGGGCAGCGGUAGGUAGUUUCCCGGAAUGGGAGAAAGCUUACCGGAGCAACGCUGCGUGAGUCAAGAAGGGCUACGGAUCGUAAACCGCUGUUAUUCGGGAAAAACAAAUGUGUAAAUAACGAUGCUGGUCUUGACGGUACCUAAUAAGAAAGCCAGGCCUAGCUAGAU
RNAcentral lists this ribosomal RNA (496 nucleotides) under uncultured bacterium. Its description in RNAcentral is "partial 16S ribosomal RNA". It matches the Rfam family "Bacterial small subunit ribosomal RNA", at positions 28 to 506 of the family's 1533-position model. The record is from RNAcentral.